This 391-nucleotide ribosomal RNA is filed under the name uncultured bacterium. Its description in RNAcentral is "bacterial SSU rRNA". It matches the Rfam family "Bacterial small subunit ribosomal RNA", at positions 29 to 419 of the family's 1533-position model. The record is from RNAcentral.
AUUAAACGCUGGCGGCAUGCCUUACACAUGCAAGUCGAACGGCAGCACGGGGGCAACCCUGGUGGCGAGUGGCGGACGGGUGAGUAAAGCAUCGGAACGUAUCCUGGAGUGGGGGAUAACGUAGCGAAAGUUACGCUAAUACCGCAUAUUCUGUGAGCAGGAAAGCAGGGGAUCGCAAGACCUUGCGCUCUGGGAGCGGCCGAUGUCGGAUUAGCUAGUUGGUGGGGUAAAGGCCUACCAAGGCGACGAUCCGUAGCGGGUCUGAGAGGAUGAUCCGCCACACUGGGACUGAGACACGGUCCAGACUCCUACGGGAGGCAGCAGUGGGGGAAUUUUGGACAAUGGGGGGCAACCCUGAUCCAGCCAUGCCGCGUGAGUGAAGAAGGCCUUC